GGGCCGUUAGCUCAGUUGGUAGAGCACUUCCAUGGCAUGGAAGGGGUCAGGAGUUCGAGUCUCCUACGGUCCACCA
This 76-nucleotide transfer RNA is filed under the name Candidatus Ryanbacteria bacterium RIFCSPHIGHO2_01_FULL_48_27. Its description in RNAcentral is "tRNA-Ala". It matches the Rfam family "tRNA". From Rfam's summary of the family: Transfer RNA (tRNA) molecules are approximately 80 nucleotides in length. Their secondary structure includes four short double-helical elements and three loops (D, anti-codon, and T loops). Lineage: Bacteria; Candidatus Ryaniibacteriota. The record is from RNAcentral. RNAcentral also lists the same sequence under 1 other name.